Molecule: ribosomal RNA, 487 nt
Filed under: uncultured bacterium
Lineage: Bacteria
Description: bacterial SSU rRNA
Rfam family: Bacterial small subunit ribosomal RNA
Source: RNAcentral
AUUGAACGCUGGCGGCAUGCCUAACACAUGCAAGUCGAACGGCAGCACGGCAGUAGCAAUACUGUGGGUGGCGAGUGGCGGACGGGUGAGGAAUACGUCGGAAUCUGCCCAGUCGUGGGGGAUAACUAGCCGAAAGGUUAGCUAAUACCGCAUACGACCGAGAGGUGAAAGCGGGGGACUGCAAGGCCUCGCGCGAUUGGAUGAGCCGACGUCGGAUUAGCUAGUUGGUGGGGUAAAGGCCCACCAAGGCGACGAUCCGUAGCUGGUCUGAGAGGAUGAUCAGCCACACUGGAACUGAGACACGGUCCAGACUCCUACGGGAGGCAGCAGUGGGGAAUAUUGGACAAUGGGCGCAAGCCUGAUCCAGCAAUGCCGCGUGUGUGAAGAAGGCCUUCGGGGUGUAAAGGCUCUGUCAGCUGGAACGAAAAAAAUAGACGGUACCAGCAGAGAAGCAUCGGCUAACUACGUGCCAGCAGCCGCGGUAAUC